This 54-nucleotide ribosomal RNA is filed under the name Diaporthe foeniculina. RNAcentral describes it as "partial 28S ribosomal RNA". Lineage: Eukaryota; Fungi; Ascomycota; Sordariomycetes; Diaporthales; Diaporthaceae. The record is from RNAcentral.
UUUGACCUCGGAUCAGGUAGGAAUACCCGCUGAACUUAAGCAUAUCAAUAAGCG